UGUCUCAGGGUUAAGAAUUUUGCAUAAUUUUCUCCCGCAAUCUCGUUCCUUUCACAAAAGAUCUAGAAAAAAAGAAGCCAUGGCCGCCCGCAGUUCUCUUCUUCACAGAACCAAAGCCUUUUCUAAUUUAAUCGUUUUUCUUUAUCUAAAUCGGAACCUGAAAUACCUAAUUCUUAUCUCGGUAAAAAACCUAACUAUCUCUUCUUAGUACCAUUUUCAGUUUUCUCUCUAUCAUUCUUUCUCUGAAGAAUAAAAGUUUUCUUUGAAAGAAAUUUAGUGAAGAAGAUUAUCAUAUCCAACGAUCUUUCCUUUGAGGCAGACUACAGGACGAGCUAUAAGGCUAUUAACCCUCAAGUAGCAACUGAUGAUGAAAACACGGAUCCUAUUGUUUUUUUUUUUGUUCUUUUGAUUAUUGGUUUAGUUGAUGUUUUAGUAUACUUAGGUUUUUAUAUUCACAGCUAUAUCAUUUAAUUUCUGUCUUGGCUGUAAAAUUUCUUUUUGUAGCAUUUCCAUAAAGAUAGGCUCAAAUGAAUGAAAUACGUUCAAAUGUAUAACGAAACAGUUUAAAGCAUCGCCGGCUAGAAGAAAUACUCAUAAGGGAACAUAGUCCAAGCAGUUCUUUGGCGGUGUUUGCAGGGAAAAGGAUCUUUGCCGUCUCAUGGAGCUGAACAUUUCGAUAAUGACACCCCACAAGGAAGGAAAGAAAUUAUACAACAUGUGUAACCAUAAUCAAGGUCUUGGCUGUAGCAUCUUUCAAAAAGAGUAGCAUUCCAAGAAAUAUAGUUGCAACAAUUGCUGCUAGCCUAACUAUGCAACCAAAACAAGUAAACAGUAGAAGUGCAAACAUUAAAUGGCUCCACUAAUCGUCUAGUUUAAGUUUCUCAACAGAGCAGUAAAAAACAAACCUGCUGAUCCAAUACAAGAGUGCACCUUAGAAAAGAUAGAAGCAGUAAAAUUGGUGUUCAGAGUCUCUUUAAGUUUCAAUUUUUGCUUGUACAGCCAUGUAAUUAUUCCAUUUGCCAGAAGGAAUAUCAUGUUGGUUGCUUGAGGGACCAUGGGUUGUAUCAUGCGUGAUUUGAAGUUAAGUCCUAUCUCAUUUUUUCUUCAAUUGUGAAACACUUUUGGUUCUGAUUGAGGGGUAUCUUAAAACUUACUGACAAAGUUGGGAUGCUUUUGAGUAUGGCCUAAUUUCAAUAGGGAUAAAUGCAUCAAUAUUUGUAAUUGAAGUACAUCCCUAGGAGACAGGGGUCCGUUGUUCUGGGGUUUUGAAGCAGAUGGUUAGAUUGUGAUUUCUUAUAAUCAUAAGGUUAUCAAUGGAAGUUUUGCUAAAUCAAUUGCACCAUUCCCAGUUGGUCGCCUGUUUCAUAUUUAGGGUGGAUUGAUGAUUUCUGAACAACAAGAUGAAGUACCCUGUGUUGAUUGUGAAAGUGCUAGCUUCCAUGUUGAUUCCCUCGCUGCUGCAAAAGAGUCUAUGGUUUAAUGUCUUCAAAUUUGGUGUUUUUGUAUUUUAAUUGUCAGGAUUUGAGUUUUAGUUUCGGUCUCCUAUCUGUGUGAUGUAAAUAUUGUAUAGUUUUUGUGUUAUAUCAUUAAUAAAGUGUAUCUUUCAAGCAAAUAUAUCAACUUUUUCU
Long non-coding RNA from Papaver somniferum (opium poppy), 1628 nucleotides. RefSeq lists it as uncharacterized. The transcript has 4 exons. The record is from RefSeq and is a predicted model, not a curated record. NCBI's taxonomy places the organism in Eukaryota, Viridiplantae, Streptophyta, Magnoliopsida, Ranunculales, Papaveraceae.